Molecule: ribosomal RNA, 253 nt
Filed under: uncultured bacterium
Lineage: Bacteria
Description: partial 16S ribosomal RNA
Rfam family: Bacterial small subunit ribosomal RNA
Source: RNAcentral
UACGUAGGUGGCAAGCGUUGUCCGGAUUUACUGGGUGUAAAGGGCGUGUAGCCGGGUUGACAAGUCAGAUGUGAAAUCCUGCGGCUUAACCGCAGAACUGCAUUUGAAACUGUUGAUCUUGAGUACUGGAGAGGCAGACGGAAUUCCUAGUGUAGCGGUGAAAUGCGUAGAUAUUAGGAGGAACACCAGUGGCGAAGGCGGUCUGCUGGACAGCAACUGACGGUGAGACGCGAAAGCGUGGGGAGCAAACAGG